Molecule: ribosomal RNA, 253 nt
Filed under: uncultured bacterium
Lineage: Bacteria
Description: partial 16S ribosomal RNA
Rfam family: Bacterial small subunit ribosomal RNA
Source: RNAcentral
UACAGAGGUGGCAAGCGUUGUUCGGAAUUACUGGGCGUAAAGGGCGCGUAGGCGGUUCGAUAAGUCCUGUGUGAAAUCCCUCGGCUCAACUGAGGAACUGCACGGGAGACUGUCGGGCUUGAGUUCGGGAGAGGGAAGCGGAAUUCCGGGUGUAGCGGUGAAAUGCGUAGAUAUCCGGAGGAACACCGGUGGCGAAGGCGGCUUCCUGGACCGACACUGACGCUGAGACGCGAAAGCGUGGGGAGCAAACAGG